RNAcentral lists this ribosomal RNA (691 nucleotides) under Curvibasidium sp. RNAcentral describes it as "partial large subunit ribosomal RNA". It matches the Rfam family "Eukaryotic large subunit ribosomal RNA", at positions 76 to 770 of the family's 3401-position model. Lineage: Eukaryota; Fungi; Basidiomycota; Microbotryomycetes. The record is from RNAcentral.
UCCCCUAGUAACGGCGAGUGAAGCGGGAAGAGCUCAAAUUUGUAAUCUGGCACUUUCAGUGUCCGAGUUGUAAUCUCGAGAAGUGUUUUCCGCGCCGGACCGCAUACAAGUCUGUUGGAAUACAGCGUCAUAGUGGUGAGAACCCCGUAACUGAUGCGGAUGCCCGGUGCUUUGUGAUACACUUUCGAAGAGUCGAGUUGUUUGGGAAUGCAGCUCAAAUUGGGUGGUAAAUUCCAUCUAAAGCUAAAUAUUGGCGAGAGACCGAUAGCGAACAAGUACCGUGAGGGAAAGAUGAAAAGCACUUUGGAAAGAGAGUUAACAGUACGUGAAAUUGUUGGAAGGGAAACGAUUGAAGUCAGACUUGUUAUCUGGAGUUCAGCCUUUCGGUGUACUCUCCAGUUUACAGGCCAGCAUCAGUUUUCGGGGCGGGAAAAUCGUAAUUAGAAGGUAGCAGCCUAGCUGUGUUAUAGCUUUUUACUGGAUUCCGCUUUGGGGACUGAGGAACGCAGUGUGCUUUUAGCAAUACCCUCGGGUAUUUCACACUUAGGAUGCUGGUGGAAUGGCUUUAAACGACCCGUCUUGAAACACGGACCAAGGAGUCUAACAUGCUUGCGAGUAUUUGGGUGUCAAACCCGGAUGCGCAAUGAAAGUGAAUGAAGGUGGGAUCCGCAAGGUGCACCAUCGACCGAUC